AAAUUAGAGAAAGUCAAAUGAAAAAAUCACACUCAGUUUCUACCUAGACCUAAUCUCUCAAUCCAAAUCCAUAAUCACGCCUCUGCUUCUUUCUCUCACACCCAGUUUCUCAGUUGCCUCUCCGUCAAUCUUUCCCUCUCUCUCUCUCUCCAUCCAUCACGCGAGUUGCUAGAGCACUCUUUCCAUUACAUUGAGUCGCUGGAGCACGCAGGCCUGAGUCAUGCCAAUACGAGUCACGGUGCUCUGUCCCCCUCACGCGAGUCACGGUGGUAUCUUCCCUGCUGGAAGCAAGAACCUAGGAAAGAACAUCUCUAUGAGUCUGCCAACAAUUUCAGAGAGAGUUCCAACUCCAACACCCAGCUUUCACCUCAUGCAAAUUUUACUGGGACAACGUCAUAUGUGGUACCAAAGUCGGAAACCAUCUUGAAAUGUGAUGAUUCCAUUGAACAUAUUAUGCACGAACAACGUUUAGGAGAAAUGGAUGAACUUGAGGCAGAACUUGCAGUUGAGUUUGAACGUUUGCAAUUCAGCUUGGAUACAGAACAGACUCAGCACCAAUGUUCAAAGGAUGUUAUGGACACUGCUUCUUCAGUAAGUCAGAGCCUGAGUUAUGGGGAGCUGACAGUGAGAGACGAUUGUGUACUUGAUGAGGAAAUAUUGUUGAUCUUAAGGUCCUCUUGAUUGGAGAAGAGGUGGGAAAUUUGUAUUUAUUUUUUCUUAGAGCUCUUUCAUUCUUUUUGUUCUUCAUUUUUCUUCAAAUUGUUUUUCAUUCCAGGUUGGAGAAUACCAAGAAGCAUACAAGCAUAGAUAUUCAAAGGUCUUUUGGACAAGUAUGGCCCUGAUAGAAUUCUUGAUACUCACAGAGUCAGAACAAAAAACGUCCAUUUUUUGCUCUGAUGUUUCAAAUUGGUGAAGAUGCUCUGUAUCAUAAUUUGAGCAAACCGAUGCCACAAUGGAAACAAGAGUAUAAUGAAUCAUGGAUUGGAGGAUGGAGCUAUCUUCAAACUUUCAUUGUGUGUAUUUGAUUAUGUUUUGUUGCUCACUUUUUAAGUAAAGGACUAGUAGUUUGUCAUAUCUUUUUGUAGACUUCAAAACUUCAACUAAGAAUGUUACGAAGUGGUGAUAGUUAUGGUUUGAAUUGAAUAUUGUGAAUGAUUUGAAUUAGUUAUUGUUCAAUGUUAUAAUUCUCAUAGUUUGUGAUA
RNA transcript from Humulus lupulus (European hop), 1202 nucleotides. RefSeq lists it as uncharacterized. The record is from RefSeq and is a predicted model, not a curated record. NCBI's taxonomy places the organism in Eukaryota, Viridiplantae, Streptophyta, Magnoliopsida, Rosales, Cannabaceae. The transcript is spliced from 7 exons.